This 1050-nucleotide long non-coding RNA is filed under the name Nicotiana benthamiana. RNAcentral's name for it is "long non-coding RNA (NBEN_LNC024807)". Lineage: Eukaryota; Viridiplantae; Streptophyta; Magnoliopsida; Solanales; Solanaceae. The record is from RNAcentral.
GGGGCACUCAACUUUAGGCAACUAAGGGAAGGCAGAAGAAAUGAGUUGCAACAUAAUUGUUUGGUUUGAGCAAAGAAAGAGAAAUACUUUUCUUUAUUUUAUUUGAGAUAGUCAUAUUCUUACUCUUGUACUUCCUCUCUUGAAGAUGAUAUUUUAUUCGUCUCUUAGUUAUACAUGCAAUAAUUAUUCCAUAAUGAUAGUGGUAUCAAAUUGGCGUAUUACUUUAUACACGAAUAAAAAAAAUAAAAUCCAAGAACCGAGGGAGACUUGUAUUGGAGGCCACAUAUAUUCCCCAUUAACGCACCGCCUCGUUUCUUGUUGCUUUUCUAUCAGCCUUUUUGUUUUCCUCCAAAUCCACAAAGCUAUACUAUUGAUUUGAUAUACUCUAAAUUAAAUCAGAGAAUAAUCAAAUUUCAUAAAAAAGAGAACAUUCUAUUAGAAUUUUCAGAUCAGGAUUGUUUGAUUCAGUCUUAAAAGCAUAAUGUCCUGCUCAUCAUUGUCGUCGACCUCGGAGGAUGGAGAUGAGGGAUUCGAUUCUUAUCGGAAAGGAGGAUACCGCUCCCAUGCGGUGAGAGUUGGCGAUUCAUUCUCUGGUGGCAGAUAUAUCGCUCAGCAAAAACUCGGCUGGGAAGAGUUCUGCACUGUUUGCUCGCUUUUGGAGAUUUAUUAUUCAAAAAUUUAAAUUUACCAUUGAAGGACCUUGAAGCUUGAAAUUUAUAUGUUGAUUUUUUUGAGUUUUUAAUUAUUUUGAUUAUGAGUUUGUUUGGAAAGUUGAUUGGAGGUUGUAGCUAAAGUUUUAGUCAAUUUGGUGAAGAUUUUGUAGUAGAAUUUAGAAAUUUGGAUUGAAAUAUAGUUGAACCACAUAAGAAGACGAAUUUGUAUUAUAUACUCAAAUAUACAAAUAUACCAUUUUAGUAUAUAAUUCAUUCCAACUAUAUAUCCUAUUAGUAUAUCUAUAUACUAUAUUGGUAUCAUAUGAUAGUUGAAUCAUGUUUUGGUUGUAUUAGCUGCAAUAAAUUGGUACAAUACUUGAUUUUCUUCUAAUCAUCU